This 253-nucleotide ribosomal RNA is filed under the name uncultured bacterium. RNAcentral describes it as "partial 16S ribosomal RNA". It matches the Rfam family "Bacterial small subunit ribosomal RNA", at positions 524 to 776 of the family's 1533-position model. The record is from RNAcentral.
UACGUAGGGGGCUAGCGUUGUCCGGAAUCAUUGGGCGUAAAGCGCGUGUAGGCGGUCCGGUAAGUCCGCUGUGAAAGUCGGGGGCUCAACCCUCGGAUGCCGGUGGAUACUGUCGGGCUUGAGUACGGAAGAGGCGAGUGGAAUUCCUGGUGUAGCGGUGGAAUGCGUAGAGAUCGGGAAGAACAUCAGUGGCGAAGGCGGUCUGCUGGGCCGUUGCUGACGCUGAGGCGCGACAGCGUGGGGAGCAAACAGG